UCGGGCCUCUUGCCAUCAGAUGUGCCCAGAUGGGAUUAGCUAGUUGGUGAGGUAACGGCUCACCAAGGCGACGAUCCCUAGCUGGUCUGAGAGGAUGACCAGCCACACUGGAACUGAGACACGGUCCAGACUCCUACGGGAGGCAGCAGUGGGGAAUAUUGCACAAUGGGCGCAAGCCUGAUGCAGCCAUGCCGCGUGUAUGAAGAAGGCCUUCGGGUUGUAAAGUACUUUCAGCGGGGAGGAAGGUGUUGUGGUUAAUAACC
This 263-nucleotide ribosomal RNA is filed under the name Salmonella enterica subsp. enterica serovar Litchfield. Its description in RNAcentral is "partial 16S ribosomal RNA". It matches the Rfam family "Bacterial small subunit ribosomal RNA", at positions 202 to 468 of the family's 1533-position model. Lineage: Bacteria; Pseudomonadati; Pseudomonadota; Gammaproteobacteria; Enterobacterales; Enterobacteriaceae. The record is from RNAcentral.